This 852-nucleotide ribosomal RNA is filed under the name uncultured bacterium. RNAcentral's name for it is "bacterial SSU rRNA". It matches the Rfam family "Bacterial small subunit ribosomal RNA", at positions 20 to 870 of the family's 1533-position model. The record is from RNAcentral.
UGGCUCAGGAUGAACGCUGGCGGCGUGCUUAACACAUGCAAGUCGAACGAAGCACUUUAUUUGAUUUCCUUCGGGACUGAUUAUUUUGUGACUGAGUGGCGGACGGGUGAGUAACGCGUGGGUAACCUGCCUUGUACAGGGGGAUAACAGUUGGAAACGGCUGCUAAUACCGCAUAAGCGCACAGCAUCGCAUGAUGCAGUGUGAAAAACUCUGGUGGUAUAAGAUGGACCCGCGUUGGAUUAGCUAGUUGGUGAGGUAACGGCCCACCAAGGCGACGAUCCAUAGCCGACCUGAGAGGGUGACCGGCCACAUUGGGACUGAGACACGGCCCAAACUCCUACGGGAGGCAGCAGUGGGGAAUAUUGCACAAUGGGCGAAAGCCUGAUGCAGCGACGCCGCGUGAGCGAAGAAGUAUUUCGGUAUGUAAAGCUCUAUCAGCAGGGAAGAUAAUGACGGUACCUGACUAAGAAGCACCGGCUAAAUACGUGCCAGCAGCCGCGGUAAUACGUAUGGUGCAAGCGUUAUCCGGAUUUACUGGGUGUAAAGGGAGCGCAGGCGGUGCGGCAAGUCUGAUGUGAAAGCCCGGGGCUCAACCCCGGUACUGCAUUGGAAACUGUUGUACUAGAGUGUCGGAGGGGUAAGCGGAAUUCCUAGUGUAGCGGUGAAAUGCGUAGAUAUUAGGAGGAACACCAGUGGCGAAGGCGGCUAACUGGACGAUAACUGACGCUGAGGCUCGAAAGCGUGGGGAGCAAACAGGAUUAGAUACCCUGGUAGUCCACGCUGUAAACGAUGAAUACUAGGUGUUGGGAAGCAUUGCUUCUCGGUGCCGUCGCAAACGCAGUAAGUAUUCC